This 61-nucleotide transfer RNA is filed under the name Camelus bactrianus (Bactrian camel). It matches the Rfam family "tRNA". Rfam says of the family: Transfer RNA (tRNA) molecules are approximately 80 nucleotides in length. Their secondary structure includes four short double-helical elements and three loops (D, anti-codon, and T loops). Further hydrogen bonds mediate the characteristic L-shaped molecular structure. tRNAs have two regions of fundamental functional importance: the anti-codon, which is responsible for specific mRNA codon recognition, and the 3' end, to which the tRNAs corresponding amino acid is attached (by aminoacyl-tRNA synthetases). tRNAs cope with the degeneracy of the genetic code in two manners: having more than one tRNA (with a specific anti-codon) for a particular amino acid; and 'wobble' base-pairing, i.e. permitting non-standard base-pairing at the 3rd anti-codon position. RNAcentral also lists the same sequence under 1 other name. The record is from Rfam by way of RNAcentral. Lineage: Eukaryota; Metazoa; Chordata; Mammalia; Artiodactyla; Camelidae.
GGGGGUAUAGCUCAGUGGUAGAGCAUGCGCGAGGUCCUGGGUUCCAUCCCCCGAACCUCCG